UGAGGCACGCCCAUAGCCCCGCCCAUGUCCCCGCGGCCUGGGCGCGCUGUGGGGCCCGGCUUUGGGGAGAAUUUACCCAAAAUCGGGUGCGCGGGGACGGGGCUUGCCAGAGUCUCGCCAGCCUCUCCACCAAGGAGUGUGGUCUGCGCCCUGCCCGGCAGCACAGUCCUGUGAGAGGAUCGCGUCUCCGUGUGCGGAGCGGCCAGAGCCACCGCGGGUCUGGGAAGAAGUGAACAAAACCAGCUCACAAAUAGGAAGGUGUUAUCUUCUGACAGAGAGCAAGUGGAACCUGACAUAGCUGUGACACCUGGUACUAGCCUUCUUUGCUCUGAUCUUAUCAUGGCACCUUUCAAAACAAAAAUGUUUUAAAUGCUUUAAAUGGAUGUUAUGAAACCUAGUCAAAUAUAUCAGAUAAUUGUUGUAAAACAUAUGCUGUUAAGAUGAUUAAAAGAUGAGCUGGAUGUUAUGAAACCUAGUCAAAUAUAUCAGAUAAUUGUUGUAAAACAUAUGCUGUUAAGAUGAUUAAAAGAUGAGCUGGAACUGCAGAACAUUA
Molecule: non-coding RNA, 553 nt
Organism: Cyanistes caeruleus (blue tit)
Lineage: Eukaryota; Metazoa; Chordata; Aves; Passeriformes; Paridae
Source: RefSeq, a predicted model, not a curated record